AGUGAACGCUGGCGGUAGGCCUAACACAUGCAAGUCGAACGGCAGCACAGUAAGAGCUUGCUCUUACGGGUGGCGAGUGGCGGACGGGUGAGGAAUAUAUCUGAAUCUACUUUUUCGUGGGGGAUAACGUAGGGAAACUUACGCUAAUACCGCAUACGACCUACGGGUGAAAGCAGGGGAUCUUCGGACCUUGCGCGAUUGAAUGAGCCGAUGUCGGAUUAGCUAGUUGGCGGGGUAAAGGCCCACCAAGGCGACGAUCCGUAGCUGGUCUGAGAGGAUGAUCAGCCACACUGGAACUGAGACACGGUCCAGACUCCUACGGGAGGCAGCAGUGGGGAAUAUUGGACAAUGGGCGCAAGCCUGAUCCAGCCAUACCGCGUGGGUGAAGAAGGCCUUCGGGUUGUAAAGCCCUUUUGUUGGGAAAGAAAAGCAGCAGGUUAAUACCCCGCUGUUCUGACGGUACCCAAAGAAUAAGCACCGGCUAACUUCGUG
RNAcentral lists this ribosomal RNA (492 nucleotides) under uncultured bacterium. Its description in RNAcentral is "partial 16S ribosomal RNA". It matches the Rfam family "Bacterial small subunit ribosomal RNA", at positions 29 to 507 of the family's 1533-position model. The record is from RNAcentral.